This 277-nucleotide ribosomal RNA is filed under the name uncultured prokaryote. Its description in RNAcentral is "partial 16S ribosomal RNA". It matches the Rfam family "Bacterial small subunit ribosomal RNA", at positions 524 to 800 of the family's 1533-position model. The record is from RNAcentral.
UACGGAGGAUCCGAGCGUUAUCCGGAUUUAUUGGGUUUAAAGGGUGCGCAGGCGGAAUAUUAAGUCGGCGGUGAAAGUUUGCAGCUUAACUGUAAAAUUGCCGUUGAAACUGGUUUUCUUGAGUGUAUAUGGAGUAGGCGGAAUUUGUAGUGUAGCGGUGAAAUGCAUAGAUAUUACAAGGAACUCCGAUUGCGAAGGCAGCUUACUAAAAUACAACUGACGCUCAGGCACGAAGGCGUGGGUAUCAAACAGGAUUAGAUACCCUGGUAGUCCCUGA